AUUGAACGCUGGCGGCAUGCUUUACACAUGCAAGUCGAACGGCAGCGCGGGCUUCGGCCUGGCGGCGAGUGGCGAACGGGUGAGUAAUACAUCGGAACGUGCCCAGUAGUGGGGGAUAGCUCGGCGAAAGCCGGAUUAAUACCGCAUACGACCUGAGGGUGAAAGCGGGGGAUCUUCGGACCUCGCGCUAUUGGAGCGGCCGAUGGCAGAUUAGCUAGUUGGUGGGGUAAAGGCCUACCAAGGUGACGAUCUGUAGCUGGUCUGAGAGGACGACCAGCCACACUGGGACUGAGACACGGCCCAGACUCCUACGGGAGGCAGCAGUGGGGAAUUUUGGACAAUGGGCGAAAGCCUGAUCCAGCAAUGCCGCGUGUGUGAUGAAGGCCUUCGGGCUGUAAAGCACUUUUGGCGGGAACGAAAAGGACUGUGCCAAUACCACGGUUCGAUGACGGUACCCGCAGAAUAAGCACCGGCUAACUACGUG
This 484-nucleotide ribosomal RNA is filed under the name uncultured bacterium. Its description in RNAcentral is "partial 16S ribosomal RNA". It matches the Rfam family "Bacterial small subunit ribosomal RNA", at positions 29 to 507 of the family's 1533-position model. The record is from RNAcentral.